UCCCCUUAUUUCUCUCUCGAGUGAGAGCCAAAUUAUUGGAAUAUAUUUUUAUUUAAGAAAAUAUAUACUUAUAAAAUAUUUUGUGGAUGGAUAAAUGCUGGUGUUUUAGUAUCAAUAUGGUUCCAGGAACCAUGCAAAAGACUAAGUACUUUGCAUUAUAAAAAUCAGGAUAUUAAGUUACUGAUUUGAAAAAUAUCAAACAAAAAUUAGCAAUUCAGCUUCGACACC
This 228-nucleotide long non-coding RNA is filed under the name Elaeis guineensis (African oil palm). RNAcentral describes it as "long non-coding RNA (EGUI_LNC030406)". Lineage: Eukaryota; Viridiplantae; Streptophyta; Magnoliopsida; Arecales; Arecaceae. The record is from RNAcentral.